RNAcentral lists this ribosomal RNA (222 nucleotides) under uncultured bacterium. RNAcentral describes it as "partial 16S ribosomal RNA". It matches the Rfam family "Bacterial small subunit ribosomal RNA", at positions 109 to 334 of the family's 1533-position model. The record is from RNAcentral.
AGUAAUGCUUGGGAAUCUGGCUUAUGGAGGGGGAUAACUACGGGAAACUGUAGCUAAUACCGCGUAGAAUCGGGAGAUGAAAGUGUGGGACCUUCGGGCCACAUGCCAUAGGAUGAGCCCAAGUGGGAUUAGGUAGUUGGUGAGGUAAAGGCUCACCAAGCCGACGAUCUCUAGCUGGUCUGAGAGGAUGACCAGCCACACUGGGACUGAGACACGGCCCAG